CUGGAAGAAACAGGAACUCACUCUCUUGUGUGGAGACACUAAGAAGAAAGGACAGGUCUGCACUUGGCAGUCAUGCCAACUGACACCCAAGGAUAGAAUGAAGGCUGGGCUUUUGUGCCUUUGAUCCAUCAAAUGUGCUUUUGAAGAAGAUUGGCUGGUGUCUGGGAAAGAGUACAGGAUCCCAGAGCCCAAAUGGCAGAGGCUCAGAAGGGAAGGGGAUCCCAGGGAAGAGUCUAAGAAGCCUUGGAAGCAGACUCCCAGGUCUCCUCCAGCGUGAAGGUGCAAAAGUUGGGGCUGGAGGUGUACUUCAAUGACAGAGUACUUCCUUGGACCACACAAGGCCUGGGUUUGAUCUCUGGCAUCACAAGAAGGACAGAUCAGAUCCCUGCCAAACAGCCAGCUGUGACCACAUGAACCCUCCCAAAGUACCAGGCCCUGGAGUCAGUGAAGGGCCGCCAUUGAUUUUGGCCCGUCUAAGCAUGAGCUCUGCUAAGUCAGCUGGAUAACAAAGCUUCCGCUUUUAUCUUUGACCUCCUAACCCAGUGGUAGCCUCGCUGGCCGAUCUUCCCACUUGGCCUGUCCUUUGGUCUCACUCUCCACCUGCUGUCUGCCCUGUCCAGAAACUGCCGGGUCAGCAGUCAAGCUGCCCAGCUGCCACAUUGGCCGCCUCUAUAAAACUUCCUCCUUGAGUCUUUUCAGAGGCCCAGGCCUUCACAGUGUCCCUUGCAGCUCUGCAAACAAUUUUGUCAUAUUUUUGUAAAGAGUGACAGCUAAAUCAAUAUUUUAAUCUGUUUUGUUGCCAAAAUUCGAUGAUCUGUCACAAUUCUUGCCUAGUACAGCCGAUCAUUAGUGUUUUUAAUGUUGUUUGUAGGCCUGUUCUGACUGGCUUACUAAUCCACCCUCAGAGUAGAACUUUGAUAUGUAACGUUAGCAACAUUUCAUUAUAUUUUGCCUAGUUCAGAUUCAGAGAAAUACUAUUUUAUGGUUAGUGGUGAAUCUAAUUGCAUAUGUCUUUUACAAAUGUUCUCCAAGAUUUUCCCUAUAAUUCCACUUUGGAGGACUUUUACUUAUGCCAAUCCUGAAUUAGUUUACUAACUGUGGCUUCCAAUCUACAGACUAGACAUGACUCAGUGUACCUGAUGCUCAAUACACUGCUACGGUUCCUUUAAGGUUGUGCCUAAAUUUAAUGACUGGUAAAUUUUCAUAAACCAAAUUUCUCACUUCUGUAAUUGGCAGUUUUUGUAAGUUGUAUUAAAUAAUUCUGUCAGGUUUUUUUAAGUUAUUAAAUAAAGCAAUCUUUCAAAUCA
Mesocricetus auratus (golden hamster) is the source of this 1307-nucleotide long non-coding RNA. RefSeq lists it as uncharacterized. The record is from RefSeq and is a predicted model, not a curated record. NCBI's taxonomy places the organism in Eukaryota, Metazoa, Chordata, Mammalia, Rodentia, Cricetidae. The transcript is spliced from 4 exons.